Molecule: ribosomal RNA, 369 nt
Filed under: uncultured bacterium
Lineage: Bacteria
Description: bacterial SSU rRNA
Rfam family: Bacterial small subunit ribosomal RNA
Source: RNAcentral
GUAGGGUGCGAGCGUUAAUCGGAAUUACUGGGCGUAAAGCGUGCGCAGGCGGUUCGUUAUGUCCGAUGUGAAAGCCCCGAGCUCAACUUGGGAAUGGCAUUGGAAACUGGCAGGCUGGAGUGUGGCAGAGGGGGGUGGAAUUCCACGUGUAGCAGUGAAAUGCGUAGAGAUGUGGAGGAACACCGAUGGCGAAGGCAGCCCCCUGGGCCAACACUGACGCUCAGGCACGAAAGCGUGGGGAGCAAACAGGAUUAGAUACCCUGGUAGUCCACGCCCUAAACGAUGUCAACUGGGUGUUGGGGAAGCGAUUCCUUGGUACCGUAGCUAACGCGUGAAGUUGACCGCCUGGGGAGUACGGCCGCAAGGUUA